RNAcentral lists this ribosomal RNA (253 nucleotides) under uncultured bacterium. RNAcentral's name for it is "partial 16S ribosomal RNA". It matches the Rfam family "Bacterial small subunit ribosomal RNA", at positions 524 to 776 of the family's 1533-position model. The record is from RNAcentral.
UACGGAGGGUGCGAGCGUUGUCCGGAAUCACUGGGCGUAAAGGGCGCGUAGGCGGCCUGAUAAGUAGGGGGUGAAAUCUUGCGGCUUAACCGCAAGGCUGCCUUCUAAACUGUCAGGCUAGAGCACAGUAGAGGCAGGUGGAAUUCCCGGUGUAGCGGUGGAAUGCGUAGAUAUCGCUUGGAACGCCAAAGGUGAAAACAGGUUGCUGGGGUUGUGCCGACGCUGAGACACGAAAGCCAGGGGAGCAAACGGG